Molecule: ribosomal RNA, 119 nt
Filed under: Pteropus alecto (black flying fox)
Lineage: Eukaryota; Metazoa; Chordata; Mammalia; Chiroptera; Pteropodidae
Source: RNAcentral
GUCUACGGCCAUGCUACUCUGAACAAGUCCGGUCCCAUCUGAUCUUGGAAGCUAAGCGGGGUUGGGCCUGGUUAGUACUUGGAUGGGAGACCACCUAGGAAGACCAGGUGCUAUAGGCA